CAAAAACACAGUGACAACACUUUGGUCUGCAGCUUCCAUUUUCCAGUGGAAAGAGAAAUGGCCCUGUAUUUCCAAGAAAAGUCCAAUAGGAGUGCAUCCCUCAGACAAUCCGGUGCAUGAACAUCCUGUGCCAGUGUGGUCCGAGACUACAGCAGAUCAAGCCUGUGAACGGACAGACAAGAGGCGUGACAUGCGGAACAUCAGGCUCACCCCACGAAAAGCAGUGCAUGAUCAACGCCACCCUCAGCAAGGCAAUCUGCUGGCAGUGAUGUACUCUCUCUCUCACUCUGGGGGUAAGACUUAUAAAUUCCCACUGUGCCCAUGAUAAAAUGCAAUGUGAAUGGUGUUGUACAACUGAAUGAAACUGUUAGGAGAUGCACUCAAAAUUGAACUUACAUUGACUACAUUACUUUAGUUGGCUGCUUUGAGCAAAACUUGAAUGUAAUAUAACCUAUUGUUUGUGUAUGAUCUGUAUUCAUUGUUCACUUGUUUUCAACCAUGUUAGGUCCAAGCACUGGGGCCUUCAGCAAGUAAGACA
Molecule: long non-coding RNA, 538 nt
Organism: Oncorhynchus gorbuscha (pink salmon)
Lineage: Eukaryota; Metazoa; Chordata; Actinopteri; Salmoniformes; Salmonidae
Exons: 3
Source: RefSeq, a predicted model, not a curated record